Long non-coding RNA from Armigeres subalbatus, 314 nucleotides. RefSeq lists it as uncharacterized. The record is from RefSeq and is a predicted model, not a curated record. Lineage: Eukaryota; Metazoa; Arthropoda; Insecta; Diptera; Culicidae. The transcript has 3 exons.
AUCUUUUAACAUCCGAGCGGCAACCAUGUUGAACUUCCUCUAAACUGUCCGCGAGUGAUUUAUUACCUAAAUUUAUAAGUCCAUUUAUUUGGGUUUUUUAUUGAACCUGGGUGGUAAAGUGAUUAGAUCCAAUUUCUAUAGCCAGAUGAUAGACGAGCAGCAAUUUCCUAAUGUUUGCCAAUGGGUUAUCAGAUAAAAUUCAAGAAAACCAAUUAUCUCGGCCAUCAACCGGUAGAAUAGAAGACAUGCAAUAGUUUUAUUGCAAUUUAAUAUUCAAUAAAAUAAAAAAAUGAUUCAAUAAAAACAAAAGUUCA